CUGUGACUGCACCAGAAUAACAACUUGAUUUUGGUGGUUUCAAACCCAAAUUCGUAGGGAAGUGAUUCAACAGCUCAUGUGACUAACCAAACAACUUUGCUUGAUGAUUUUAAGCAUGUUCAAACUCUUAAACAACUCAGAAACUGAUUGUAACUCAAAAUCACUGGUUCACUUCCAUUUUUAACCAAAAAAGUGAUGGUUUAAAAGGCUAAUCUGCAUAUAGGUUCAUUUUUGACCAAAUGAACAGUGCUAGAAACUUUCAAACAUCAAUUUAGACUUGCUCAAGCUUUCCAAAUGCAUAGAAACAGCAAGAUUCGAAAAUCACCCUUGCUAUAGCCAAUUUAUGCAGCAAAAAGCACUAAGAAACCACUCAAAAUUAGUUUUAUGGAAUAAAAAAAAACUGGACAACAAUGAAAUUGACUCAAAGAAGUGUAAGUGCACUGAACUAAGCUUGAAUUAAGGUGCUUAGCAUGACCAAACUCAGAUUAUACAAUUCAAUUCAAUUGGCACGGUGAAAAACCAUAUUUCUUAAACUGAAACAGUGGAAUUCUUAAGGAUUUGAAGCAACCAAGCUAUGCAUAUUGCAUUUCAUUGCUUAUUCUGGUUUGCUACACCUUAAGACACAUUCAACAACAUUAAACAAUGUUGUACCACUGAAAAACAAAUUCACGAAUUUAAACCAGAUUUGACAUUUUAAUGCAGAUUUUGAAACCAAAAUCAAGUUCUAAUGCUUUAGCUCAUAUCACCAAGGCUAGAACAUGUUCUCAUUGCCUCAUAUGGUUGAUAUAUAGCUACACUUGCAUCUGAACUCACUUAAAAUCGAAAAACCAAGCUGAAACAAAUUAAACUUGACUAAAACAGAAACAAAACUGCAUCAACACAUGCACAUGACUUAGACAAUACGGAAAUUGGAAAUUGAAACUGGAAAUGACUCAAACAAACAACAUUCACCGUUUAAAAUGAAAGAUCAACAUGAAAACACAAUGGAAACAAGAAUUCAGUGACUGGCAAUGCAAUUAGGCACCAAACAGAAAUGAAAUAAACACCUAAAACAGAAUCUGGAAAAAAAAAAACAUGACAAGAUAAUCAACUAAAGCAGAAUUGAAAUGGAAAAUGGAGGAAUUAGCUUAGCUCCUGGUGCGUGGAUGACCUAAGCUCUGGAUACCACUUGAUGGAGACCAAAUCCAGCUUGAAUCACGCAAUUAAGAGCUCCAAGCCAGAAGAAACCAGUGAGACAGAGGUUGCAGCGAAAAAUGAAUUGAUGAUGCAGUGUUCAAUGUGUUUUAAUGGAGGAGAUGUGUAUGGGUGAGAUCUCAAAGCUCAGAAGGCCUUCCUAAGGUGGAAGGAAGCUUGAGAAAGGGAGAAGAAGUAGAAGAACAAGGUGACUUCAGAGCACAAGAAGCUGGGAAAUUAAUUCUGCAGCAUAACAUUGCAAGCUCAAAAGUGUUNNN
RNAcentral lists this long non-coding RNA (1451 nucleotides) under Vigna radiata. RNAcentral's name for it is "long non-coding RNA (VRAD_LNC003514)". The record is from RNAcentral. Lineage: Eukaryota; Viridiplantae; Streptophyta; Magnoliopsida; Fabales; Fabaceae.